UCCUGGAUAGCUCAGUUGGUUAGAGUGUGGUUCUGAUAAUGCCAAGGUUCGAUCCCUGUAUGGGAC
Molecule: non-coding RNA, 66 nt
Organism: Podarcis lilfordi (Lilford's wall lizard)
Lineage: Eukaryota; Metazoa; Chordata; Lepidosauria; Squamata; Lacertidae
Source: the annotation of a GenBank genome assembly